This 253-nucleotide ribosomal RNA is filed under the name uncultured bacterium. Its description in RNAcentral is "partial 16S ribosomal RNA". It matches the Rfam family "Bacterial small subunit ribosomal RNA", at positions 524 to 776 of the family's 1533-position model. The record is from RNAcentral.
UACGAACUGCGCGAACGUUAUUCGGAAUCACUGGGCUUAAAGGGUGCGUAGGCGGCCUGUUAAGUAGGGUGUGAAAUCUGUCGGCUCAACCGGCAGACUGCAUUCUAAACUGGCAGGCUUGAGUGAGUCAGGGGUGUGCGGAACUUCCGGUGGAGCGGUGAAAUGCGUUGAUAUCGGAAGGAACGCCGGUGGCGAAAGCGGCACACUGGGGCUUUUCUGACGCUGAGGCACGAAAGCCGGGGGAGCGAACAGG